RNAcentral lists this ribosomal RNA (305 nucleotides) under uncultured bacterium. RNAcentral's name for it is "bacterial SSU rRNA". It matches the Rfam family "Bacterial small subunit ribosomal RNA", at positions 335 to 638 of the family's 1533-position model. The record is from RNAcentral.
UUUCCUACGGGGGGCAGCAGUGAGGAAUAUUGGUCAAUGGGCGGGAGCCUGAACCAGCCAAGUCGCGUGAGGGAUGACGGCCCUAUGGGUUGUAAACCUCUUUUGCCGGGGAGCAAAGUGCCGCACGUGUGCGGUUUGGAGAGUACCCGGAGAAAAAGCAUCGGCUAACUCCGUGCCAGCAGCCGCGGUAAUACGGAGGAUGCGAGCGUUAUCCGGAUUUAUUGGGUUUAAAGGGUGCGUAGGCGGACUGUUAAGUCAGCGGUAAAAGCCCGGGGCUCAACCCCGGCGAGCCGUUGAAACUGGCC